UGGGGUGUCUGUCGCCUUUUGAACUCCCAUUGAGAUAAUCAGCUUUUGGACAUAUGACAGUAUGUCUCCCCCCUCUACCUGUUCAGGUAUGCCUCUCAGGCGUACAUUUCGUCUCCGGUGCCGGGACUCCAGUGUGGUCACUAUUUUGUGCAGUUGUUUGACCUGUGAGGCGAGACCCUCCACCCGUUGUGUAGUCGUCUUGAGUUGAGUAUCCCGAGCUUGUUCUCUGACCUCAGCUGCUGAUACUGUAUGCUGCAGGGCUUUUAUGUCAGCUUGCGUUUCUUGGAGGUCUGACUUCCACACUUCCCUUAG
This is a non-coding RNA of Pelobates cultripes (western spadefoot toad), 312 nucleotides long. NCBI's taxonomy places the organism in Eukaryota, Metazoa, Chordata, Amphibia, Anura, Pelobatidae. The record is from the annotation of a GenBank genome assembly.